RNAcentral lists this long non-coding RNA (100 nucleotides) under Mustela putorius furo (domestic ferret). RNAcentral describes it as "lncRNA (ENSMPUG00000027949.1)". Lineage: Eukaryota; Metazoa; Chordata; Mammalia; Carnivora; Mustelidae. The record is from RNAcentral.
UUAUGGGAGAAUGGAGAGUGAUGUCAUGCUACCCUGCUGAUUUUACUAUUAUUGUGCUCUUCAAGGAAUUCUCCGGCAAUUGUAUGUAUCACAAAUAUUU